Long non-coding RNA from Lolium perenne, 1427 nucleotides. RefSeq lists it as uncharacterized. The record is from RefSeq and is a predicted model, not a curated record. Lineage: Eukaryota; Viridiplantae; Streptophyta; Magnoliopsida; Poales; Poaceae.
UAAUUGCGCGAUUUAAUGUGUCUUUUUCUUCACUAGAAAAAAAUAAAUCUCAAGCAAUAUAGCAAGGUUAGUAAUAGUGCAAUUGUAAAACAUAGCUUACUCUAUAUUAUAUCUGAAAUUUCGAGGACGAAAUUUUUAUAAGGAGGGAGGAAUGUUAUGAUCCAAAGUUUUGCUUGUUUAAGUUUCGCCACUCGAGUAACAAUUGUGAAUUUCAAAUAAAACAAUAAGUGUUUUUGAAGUAAUUUGCAGUGCCCGAUGAAAAUGAAAGAACCAAAAUAACAUAAUAAUAAGGACUUCUAAGUAAGAUUGCUAGAUAUUUCACCACCGCUUGGUUCUUGAGUUAUCUGGACAAAAAUAUCUUCUGUUCUUAUUUUCUUAGCUCCCAAGUUUCCAUCGGCUAAGUCUUAUCUGCUCUCAAAAGAUCUCCGAUCGUGUACGAGGUCUGGUACCUAUAAAUACCCCUUCAGCCGGAGCUUGUCACCAUCGCCCAAUCAAGCGCACAUCUCCUUUCCUUUCUGUUCCACCAUUAGGGAAGUUCUCUGCUUCUGCUUCUUAGCUAGCGAGACUAGAAUAGGAGAAUAGGAGAAUCAGAGAAGCUGCCUGGAAGAUUUUAAAGUACAUCAGGAUGGGCGUACAGAGGUCAGGGGAAAACUGAAGUUUAAUCACCGAGGACAGUCAAGGCAAGCUGCGUAUACCAGAAUCUUCUUGUGUGCUUUGUAUUCCCUUCUUUGAUUUAUUUGGUUGCUAUGCUUAUAUGUGUUUUGUAUGCUCUUAAUUCUCUAUAUCGGUAGAGCUGCUUCCUUUGUUGUUUUAGCACAUUUUUAUUGUUGUAUAUUGGUCAAGCAAGAUAAAAUAUGGGAUCAUAUAUCAACAAAUUGGUUGGUCAUAAUCAUGAAAAGUGUGGUGUAUCCAGCCUGAGACGGUCGAUACCUGAAAGGUGUGGGAUGGCAGGCCCGGAUGGGAAGGCCCACACAAGUAGGGGACUCGGCGACGUGAUUCUCAGAGAUCGAUACUAUCACGAGGUGGGAUUAUGACAAUUGAUUUGCUGAUACUCUGCAGAGGCUUAACUAAAACUUGGGUUUUAAUAUAUACUAAGGAUGAUAUGGAUGUUGGUGUUGCUUGGUUUAUGCCAAAGAGCGUUUAGUCGCUAUGAGUGCAUAUCGCACCCUGCUGAGCUAUGAGAUAUAAUGGAAUGUAAAAUCUGUAUAUUCUUGCUGAAUAUGUUUAACAUACUCACAGUCUUUUAUUUUUAUCUGGUAUGCGCAGAUCAAUUUUAGGAUCAAGUGGCGACGGCUGAAAAUCCAUAUGACGGCAUAUAGCGUAGAAGUGGAGCGAGAUAUUAAUAAAACAAAAUAUCACUAGCGUUGUAAUAAAUAAGUUGUACUUGUAAUAUUUGAUAAUGAAUAAAGUGGAGACCUUGCUUGGCA